RNAcentral lists this ribosomal RNA (305 nucleotides) under uncultured bacterium. RNAcentral's name for it is "bacterial SSU rRNA". It matches the Rfam family "Bacterial small subunit ribosomal RNA", at positions 333 to 654 of the family's 1533-position model. The record is from RNAcentral.
UAGCGCCUACGGGACGCAGCAGUGGGGGAUAUUGCACAAUGGGGGAAACCCUGAUGCAGCGACGCCGCGUGAGUGAAGAAGUAUUUCGGUAUGUAAAGCUCUAUCAGCAGGGAAGAAAAAAGACGGUACCUGACUAAGAAGCCCCGGCUAAAUACGUGCCAGCAGCCGCGGUAAUACGUAUGGUGCAAGCGUUAUCCGGAUUUACUGGGUGUAAAGGGAGCGCAGGCGGCGCGUUAAGCCUGGUGUGAAAGCCCGCGGCCCAACCGCGGGACUGCAUUGGGAACUGGCGCGCUGGAGUGCCGGCG